UAAUACAUCGGAACGUGUCCCGUAGUGGGGGAUAGCCCGGCGAAAGCCGGAUUAAUACCGCAUACGAUCUACGGAUGAAAGCGGGGGAUCGCAAGACCUCGCGCGAAUGGAGCGGCCGAUGGCAGAUUAGGUAGUUGGUGGGGUAAAGGCUCACCAAGCCUGCGAUCUGUAGCUGGUCUGAGAGGACGACCAGCCACACUGGGACUGAGACACGGCCCAG
Molecule: ribosomal RNA, 220 nt
Filed under: uncultured bacterium
Lineage: Bacteria
Description: partial 16S ribosomal RNA
Rfam family: Bacterial small subunit ribosomal RNA
Source: RNAcentral